Molecule: microRNA precursor, 202 nt
Organism: Oryza sativa Indica Group (long-grained rice)
Lineage: Eukaryota; Viridiplantae; Streptophyta; Magnoliopsida; Poales; Poaceae
Rfam family: MIR812 microRNA precursor family
Source: Rfam
AAAAAGGCAAACCCUGGGUUUCCGUGUCAACGUUUCACUGUCCGUCUUAUAUGAUUUUUUUAUAAUUAGUAUUUCUAUUGUCGUUAGAUGAUAAAACAUGAUUAAUACUUUAUGCGUGAUUUAUCUUUUUAAUUUUUUCAUAAUUUUUUUAAAUAAGAAGGAUGGUCAAACGUUGGACACGGAAACCAGGGUUUGUCUUUCU